RNAcentral lists this small nuclear RNA (152 nucleotides) under Carlito syrichta (Philippine tarsier). RNAcentral describes it as "U1 spliceosomal RNA (ENSTSYG00000020902.2)". It matches the Rfam family "U1 spliceosomal RNA". From Rfam's summary of the family: U1 is a small nuclear RNA (snRNA) component of the spliceosome (involved in pre-mRNA splicing). Lineage: Eukaryota; Metazoa; Chordata; Mammalia; Primates; Tarsiidae. The record is from Rfam by way of RNAcentral.
AUACUUACCUGGCAGGGGAGAUACCAUGAUCACGAAGGUGGUUUUCCCACGGUGAGGCUUAUCCGUUACACUCUGGAUGUGCUGACCCUUGUGAUUUCCCCAAAUGUGGGAAGUUCAACUGCAUUGGGGGGCUGCAUUUGUACUCUCCCCUA